RNAcentral lists this ribosomal RNA (496 nucleotides) under uncultured bacterium. Its description in RNAcentral is "partial 16S ribosomal RNA". It matches the Rfam family "Bacterial small subunit ribosomal RNA", at positions 28 to 506 of the family's 1533-position model. The record is from RNAcentral.
GAUGAACGCUGGCAGCGUGCCUAAUACAUGCAAGUCGAGCGAACAGAUGAGGAGCUUGCUCCUCUGACGUUAGCGGCGGACGGGUGAGUAACACGUGGAUAACCUACCUAUAAGACUGGGAUAACUUCGGGAAACCGGAGCUAAUACCGGAUAAUAUAUUGAACCGCAUGGUUCAAUAGUGAAAGACGGUUUUGCUGUCACUUAUAGAUGGAUCCGCGCCGCAUUAGCUAGUUGGUAAGGUAACGGCUUACCAAGGCAACGAUGCGUAGCCGACCUGAGAGGUGAUCCGGCCACAGGGGAAUGAGAAACCGGCCCGACUCCCACGGGAGGGAGCAGGAGGGAAACUUUGCGAAUGGGCCAAAAGCCGACCGGGCAAACCCGCGGGAGGGAAUAAAGGUUUUGGAUCGGAAAAACCUUUUUUUAGGGAAAAAAAAAAUGGGAAAGAAACUAAGCCCCUCUGAAGGUAACUAAACAAAAAACCCCCGCUAACCUCCGU